RNAcentral lists this transfer RNA (71 nucleotides) under Loxodonta africana (African savanna elephant). It matches the Rfam family "tRNA". Rfam says of the family: Transfer RNA (tRNA) molecules are approximately 80 nucleotides in length. Their secondary structure includes four short double-helical elements and three loops (D, anti-codon, and T loops). Further hydrogen bonds mediate the characteristic L-shaped molecular structure. tRNAs have two regions of fundamental functional importance: the anti-codon, which is responsible for specific mRNA codon recognition, and the 3' end, to which the tRNAs corresponding amino acid is attached (by aminoacyl-tRNA synthetases). tRNAs cope with the degeneracy of the genetic code in two manners: having more than one tRNA (with a specific anti-codon) for a particular amino acid; and 'wobble' base-pairing, i.e. permitting non-standard base-pairing at the 3rd anti-codon position. The record is from Rfam by way of RNAcentral. Lineage: Eukaryota; Metazoa; Chordata; Mammalia; Proboscidea; Elephantidae.
GCAGUGGUGGUUCAGCAGUAGAAUUCUCCCCUUCCAUGGGGAAGACCUGAGUUCGAUUCCCAGCCAGUGCA